CAUAUCAAUAACGGAGGAAAAGAACCACAGGGAUUACCUUAGUACGGCGAGUGAAGCGGUACGGCUCAAAUUUGAAAUCGGCCACCGGUCGAGUUGUAAUUUGCAGAGGAUGCUUCGGCUUCGCCCCGGCCCAAGUCCGUUGGAACACGGCGUCCGCAGAGGGUGAGAAUCCCGUUGCGGCCGGCGGCCCCGCCUGUGAAGCUCCUUCGACGAGUCGAGUUGUUUGGGAAUGCAGCUCAAAAUGGGAGGUAAAUUUCUUCUAAAGCUAAAUAUUGGCCCGAGACCGAUAGCGCACAAGUAGAGUGAUCGAAAGAUGAAAAGCAUCUUGGAAAGGAAUCGAAACAGCACGUGAAAUUGUUGAAGGGGAAGCGCUCGCGGCGAGAGCCCGCGCGGUCGUUCACCGGGGCCUCGCGCCCCGGGCACGCGGCCGCGUCGGCCAGCAUCGGUUCGGGCGGCGGGAGAAACGCCGACGGCACGUAGCUCCCCUCGGGGAGUGUUAUAGCCGCGGCGCAAUACCGCCCGCCUGGACCGUGGCACGCGCUCUCGCUCGGAUGCUGGCGUAAUGCGCCGCGAGCGGCCCGUCUUGAAACACGGACC
RNAcentral lists this small RNA (597 nucleotides) under Arthrographis globosa. Its description in RNAcentral is "eukaryotic LSU rRNA". It matches the Rfam family "Eukaryotic large subunit ribosomal RNA", at positions 39 to 667 of the family's 3401-position model. Lineage: Eukaryota; Fungi; Ascomycota; Dothideomycetes; Eremomycetales; Eremomycetaceae. The record is from RNAcentral.